Molecule: ribosomal RNA, 253 nt
Filed under: uncultured bacterium
Lineage: Bacteria
Description: partial 16S ribosomal RNA
Rfam family: Bacterial small subunit ribosomal RNA
Source: RNAcentral
UACGGAGGGUGCAAACGUUGCUCGGAAUCAUUGGGCGUAAAGCGCACGUAGGCGGCGGCGUAAGCGGGAUGUGAAAGCCCAGGGCUCAACCCUGGAAGUGCAUCCCGAACUAUGUCGCUUGAAUCUCGGAGGGGGACAGAGAAUUCCCGGUGUAGAGGUGAAAUUCGUAGAUAUCGGGAGGAAUACCAGUGGCGAAGGCGCUGUCCUGGACGAAGAUUGACGCUGAGGUGCGAAAGCGUGGGGAGCAAACAGG